This 468-nucleotide ribosomal RNA is filed under the name uncultured bacterium. RNAcentral's name for it is "partial 16S ribosomal RNA". It matches the Rfam family "Bacterial small subunit ribosomal RNA", at positions 28 to 507 of the family's 1533-position model. The record is from RNAcentral.
GACGAACGCUGGCGGCGUGCUUAACACAUGCAAGUCGAACGGACAGGCCCUGCUCUUGUUGCGUUGUCGAUUGGCGAACGGGUGAGUAACACACGAGUAACCUGUCCCUGACUUUGGGAUAACUUCAGGAAACUGGGGCUAAUACCGGAUAGGAUCUCCUGCUCCACGGUGGGGGUUGGAAAGUUUCGGCGGUUGGGGAUGGACUCGCGGCUUAUCAGCUUGAUGGUGGGGUAGUGGCUUACCAAGGCUUUGACGGGUAGCCGGCCUGAGAGGGUGACCGGCCACAUUGGGACUGAGAUACGGCCCAGACUCCUACGGGAGGCAGCAGUGGGGAAUAUUGCACAAUGGGCGGAAGCCUGAUGCAGCAACGCCGCGUGCGGGAUGACGGCCUUCGGGUUGUAAACCGCUUUCGCCUGUGACGAAGCGUGAGUGACGGUAAUGGGUAAAGAAGCACCGGCUAACUACGUG